This 472-nucleotide ribosomal RNA is filed under the name uncultured bacterium. RNAcentral describes it as "partial 16S ribosomal RNA". It matches the Rfam family "Bacterial small subunit ribosomal RNA", at positions 28 to 507 of the family's 1533-position model. The record is from RNAcentral.
GACGAACGCUGGCGGCGUGCUUAACACAUGCAAGUCGAACGCUGAAGCUUGGUGCUUGCACUGGGUGGAUGAGUGGCGAACGGGUGAGUAAUACGUGAGUAACCUGCCCUUGACUCUGGGAUAAGCCUGGGAAACUGGGUCUAAUACUGGAUAUGACAUGCCACUGCAUGGUGGUGUGUGGAAAGGGUUUUACUGGUUUUGGAUGGGCUCACGGCCUAUCAGCUUGUUGGUGGGGUAAUGGCCUACCAAGGCGACGACGGGUAGCCGGCCUGAGAGGGUGACCGGCCACACUGGGACUGAGACACGGCCCAGACUCCUACGGGAGGCAGCAGCGGGGAAUAUUGCACAAUGGGCGGAAGCCUGAUGCAGCGACGCCGCGUGAGGGAUGACGGCCUUCGGGUUGUAAACCUCUUUCAGCACGGAAGAAGCGAGAGUGACGGUACGUGCAGAAGAAGCGCCGGCUAACUACGUG